GAUGAACGCUAGCGAUAGGCUUAACACAUGCAAGUCGAGGGGCAGCAUGGUCUUAGCUUGCUAAGGCUGAUGGCGACCGGCGCACGGGUGCGUAACGCGUAUGCAACUUGCCUCACAGAGGGGGAUAACCCGUCGAAAGACGGACUAAUACCGCGUACACUCUAUGUUGGGCAUCCAAUGUAGAGGAAAUGAAAUUCGCUGUGAGAUAGGCAUGCGUCCCAUUAGCUAGUUGGUGAGGUAACGGCUCUCCAAGGCGACGAUGGGUAGGGGAACUGAGAGGUUGAACCCCCACACUGGUACUGAGACACGGACCAGACUCCUACGGGAGGCAGCAGUGAGGAAUAUUGGUCAAUGGGCGAGAGCCUGAACCAGCCAAGUCGCGUGAAGGAUGACUGUCUUAUGGAUUGUAAACUUCUUUUAUACGGGAAUAACAAGAGUCACGUGUGGCUCCCUGCAUGUACCGUAUGAAUAAGCAUCGGCUAACUCCGUG
This 490-nucleotide ribosomal RNA is filed under the name uncultured bacterium. RNAcentral describes it as "partial 16S ribosomal RNA". It matches the Rfam family "Bacterial small subunit ribosomal RNA", at positions 28 to 507 of the family's 1533-position model. The record is from RNAcentral.